GAGGUCAUUCAACAGGUCAACCCAGUGGCUUUCAGGCUCCGGUUACCCAACCACAUGAAACUGCACCCAGUAUUUCACAGGUCGUUACUGUCACCGUACGAGGGGGGACGAGAAGGGAUGGCCACUGGGACCGGUCAUAGAAGAAAGAGAAUGCAGCAGUCAUGUGGCAGAAAUCCUUGAUGCCAGGUGGAAGGGGAAUCAGGUGGAGUAUUUGGUAGCGUGGGAAGGAGAACCGGAGUCAGAAAACACGUGGGUAAUGGCCAAAGAUAUCAAUGACGAGGUAUUGAUAGAAAUGUUCCAUCAAAGGUUCCCGCGGAAACCUCAGCCUGUGGAGAGGUUCCGGAGGGAAUACUUUGGGACCACUGAGGAGGAGGAGGAGUUGGAAGGAUUCCCAGAAUCGGAAGGGGAAGGGGAGAUGGACUCGGAGGAGGAGGAGUGCUUCGAGACCAGGAACCGCAACAGGUGGAGAGAAGUGUUCGAGACAUCGGAAGAUGAAGGAAGUUCAUUCCGGGGUUGUGCCUCCUCACCGCCCGUAGAGGAGGGGGCGAGAGGGGGUGAAGGGGGCCCUGGAGGGGAGGUGGAUGUCAGGGAACUGCCAUCGGUAGGAAGGGAGGUGAAAGGACUCAGACAGGUUGGAAGAGACUUAGCAGCUGAAGAGGAAACCAGCAGGGGGAGAGAAGCUGAACUGAGGGAGGUGAAAGGGCUCAGACAGGUUGGAAGAGACUUAGCAGCUGAAGAGGAAACCAGCAGGGGGAGAGAAGCUGAACUGAGGGAAAGGGAGCUGGGGGGAUGGCUCAGAGAUACUUCCAGCGAAAACAGUGGUGAGGUUUCCGGACCUCCUGUAGCGACACCCACUCCUCGCCGGAAACUGUCACGCAGAGAGUCCAGAAGACGUGUUUCCGUUAAGGAGCUUUUAUGUUGGAAGCGAUUACGAAAGCAACCACUGUCGGAAUCUUCUAGUGACUAAGAGGAGCCAUGUCAGAGGGGCUCAGUCACAGACAGAGGUUUGUGGACUUGAACAAACUCUGAGGGAAUACGAUUUUACGCACAAGCAGCUCAUAAUCCCAUCACAA
Molecule: non-coding RNA, 1073 nt
Organism: Podarcis lilfordi (Lilford's wall lizard)
Lineage: Eukaryota; Metazoa; Chordata; Lepidosauria; Squamata; Lacertidae
Source: the annotation of a GenBank genome assembly